Molecule: ribosomal RNA, 347 nt
Filed under: uncultured bacterium
Lineage: Bacteria
Description: partial 16S ribosomal RNA
Rfam family: Bacterial small subunit ribosomal RNA
Source: RNAcentral
CCUACGGGAGGCAGCAGUGGGGAAUAUUGGGCAAUGGAGGCAACUCUGACCCAGCAACGCCGCGUGAAUGAUGAAGGUCUUCGGAUUGUAAAGUUCUGUGAUUGGGGAUGAACACAAUGACGGUACCCCAAUCCCAAGCCACGGCUAACUACGUGCCAGCAGCCGCGGUAAUACGUAGGUGGCAAGCGUUAUCCGGAAUGACUGGGCGUAAAGGGUGCGUAGGUGGUUUAGUAAGUUGGCGGUGUAAUUCCGGGGCUCAACCUCGGCGCUACCGCUAAAACUAGUAGACUGGAGUGCAGGAGAGGUAAGUGGAAUGCGUGGUGUAGCGGUGGAAUGCGUAGAUAUUA